UGGGGAAUCUUGCGCAAUGGGCGAAAGCCUGACGCAGCAACGCCGCGUGCGGGAAGAAGGCCUUAGGGUUGUAAACCGCUUUCAGUAGGAACGAAAAUGACGGUAACUGCAGAAGAAGGUGCGGCCAACUACGUGCCAGCAGCCGCGGUGACACGUAGGCACCAAGCGUUGUCCGGAUUUAUUGGGCGUAAAGAGCUCGUAGGCGGUUCAGUAAGUCGGGUGUGAAAACUCUGGGCUUAACCCAGAGCCGCCACUCGAUACUGCUGUGACUUGAGUUCGGUAGGGGAGCAGGGAAUUCCUAGUGUAGCGGUGAAAUGCGCAGAUAUUAGGAGGAACACCGGUGGCGAAGGCGCUGCUCUGGGCCGAUACUGACGCUGAGGAGCGAAAGCGUGAGUAGCAAAC
This 402-nucleotide ribosomal RNA is filed under the name uncultured bacterium. RNAcentral's name for it is "bacterial SSU rRNA". It matches the Rfam family "Bacterial small subunit ribosomal RNA", at positions 355 to 773 of the family's 1533-position model. The record is from RNAcentral.